Triplophysa rosa is the source of this 74-nucleotide non-coding RNA. The record is from the annotation of a RefSeq genome assembly. Lineage: Eukaryota; Metazoa; Chordata; Actinopteri; Cypriniformes; Nemacheilidae.
GGCCGGUUAGCUCAGUUGGUUAGAGUGUGGUGAUAAUAACGCCAAGGUCGUGGGUUCGAUCCCCGUUCGGGCCA